AACCACCAGAAGCUGGAUGAGAAGCAUGGGUUGGAUUCUCCAUCUGAGCCCCCACGAAGGAACCAACCCCGUCGACACCUUGAUUUCAAACUUCUCAUCUCCAGAACGCAAAUCAUUUUUGAGCAUUUGCUCUUUGCCAGGGGCCCAGCAUGGAGAAGACAUGGUCCCUCCCUCAGAGUGAAGUCUUUCUGUCGAUCUCUUACAAGACUCAUAUAACCUAAAAACCUGGAGGGAGCCCCUGAAUCUGGCCUGUUGGUGUCCUUCCUCCUUCAACCAGGGGUCCCUGCUUAUUGCUCCCAAGUGUAGGAAAGACGGGCCCCUGUGGCCCCUCCCUAGACCCUUUCACCAGAGCAGAUCUCCCAAGCCCCAGAAUCAUCCAGACAGAAGGGGCUGCUUUUUGGACCAAAAGCAGUUGUCUGGGCUUGCUUAUCAAGAGGAACUUUCCAGACCUUCCUGAGAGAAGAGAACAGAGGCAUUGAGAGAAAAGCAUGGUUUCAGAAACUCCCCAGGGAACAGAAUGAGGUUCUAACCCUCACCUAACAACACCUGGGGCUGGGGGCAGACAGGGGCCAGGAGCACGGCCUACAGGGUCCCAGAGGUGCAGGCAAGAGAAGAUAUACCUGCUCCCAAGGGACUGUGAGCAUGGUGCCUCAGCAAGUGACAGAGGGUCCCAAAGAACAGGGACCCCC
Long non-coding RNA from Lontra canadensis (Northern American river otter), 689 nucleotides. RefSeq lists it as uncharacterized. The transcript has 3 exons. The record is from RefSeq and is a predicted model, not a curated record. Lineage: Eukaryota; Metazoa; Chordata; Mammalia; Carnivora; Mustelidae.